Molecule: ribosomal RNA, 101 nt
Filed under: bovine gut metagenome
Source: RNAcentral
GCCGAGGGGAUCCACCUGUUCUCAUCCCGAACACAGAAGUUAAGCCCUCUAAGCGCCGACAAUACUUGGCUGGCGACGGCCCGGGAAGAUAGGUUCCGCCG